GGAUCAACGCUAGCUACAGGCUUAACACAUGCAAGUCGCGGGGCAGCCUGGGGGUUGCUUGCAAUCCCCGAUGGCGACCGGCGCACGGGUGAGUAACGCGUAUCCAACCUGCCCUUCACCACGGGAUAACCCGGCGAAAGUCGGACUAAUACCGUAUGUUGUCCAUUGACGGCAUCCGAUUUGGACGAAAGGCUUGGCGGUGAGGGAUGGGGAUGCGUCCGAUUAGCCAGACGGCGGGGUAACGGCCCACCGUGGCUACGAUCGGUAGGGGUUCUGAGAGGAAGGUCCCCCACACUGGAACUGAGACACGGUCCAGACUCCUACGGGAGGCAGCAGUGAGGAAUAUUGGUCAAUGGGCGUAAGCCUGAACCAGCCAAGUAGCGUGCAGGAUGACGGCCCUAUGGGUUGUAAACUGCUUUUAUGCGGGGAUAAAGUGGCCCACGUGUGGGCUUUUGCAGGUACCGCAUGAAUAAGGACCGGCUAAUUCCGU
Molecule: ribosomal RNA, 490 nt
Filed under: uncultured bacterium
Lineage: Bacteria
Description: partial 16S ribosomal RNA
Rfam family: Bacterial small subunit ribosomal RNA
Source: RNAcentral